Molecule: ribosomal RNA, 253 nt
Filed under: uncultured bacterium
Lineage: Bacteria
Description: partial 16S ribosomal RNA
Rfam family: Bacterial small subunit ribosomal RNA
Source: RNAcentral
UACGUAGGCAGCAAGCGUUGUUCGGAAUUACUGGGCGUAAAGAGUGUGUAGGCGGUGCUCCAAGUCUGGUGUGAAAUCUCCCGGCUUAACUGGGAGGGUGCAUUAGAAACUGGAAUGCUAGAGGAUGGGAGAGGUAAGCGGAAUUCCUGGUGUAGCGGUGAAAUGCGUAGAUAUCUGGAGGAACACCGGUGGCGAAGGCGGCAUCCUGGACCGGCAUUGACGCUGAGGCGCGAAAGCCAGGGGAGCAAACGGG